UGGGGAAUAUUGGACAAUGGGGGAAACCCUGAUCCAGCAAUGCCGCGUGAGUGAAGAAGGCCUUAGGGUUGUAAAGCUCUUUCGCCCGCGAAGAUAAUGACGGUAGCGGGAGAAGAAGCCCGGCUAACUCCGUGCCAGCAGCCGCGGUAAUACGGAGGGGGCUAGCGUUGUUCGGAAUUACUGGGCGUAAAGCGUACGUAGGCGGAUGCGCAAGUUGGGGGUGAAAUCCCGGGGCUUAACCUCGGAAUUGCCCUCAAAACUGCACGUCUUGAGACCGAGAGAGGUAAGGGGAAUUCCUAGUGUAGAGGUGAAAUUCGUAGAUAUUAGGAAGAACACCAGUGGCGAAGGCGCCUUACUGGCUCGGUACUGACGCUGAGGUACGAAAGCGUGGGGAGCAAACA
This 401-nucleotide ribosomal RNA is filed under the name uncultured bacterium. Its description in RNAcentral is "bacterial SSU rRNA". It matches the Rfam family "Bacterial small subunit ribosomal RNA", at positions 355 to 774 of the family's 1533-position model. The record is from RNAcentral.